GAAAACUUCGAGGUCAAACUGGCAUUUUUCCAGCCAACUACGUAACCAUGAAUUAAAGCGUAUACUAUUUUCUUCUUUGAGAAUUACAAAAAAAUUAUUUCUACACUGACAGGAUUUACUAGUAGGCAGAAGUCCUAUGUCUCAUAUGCAGGGUGAAAUCCACCUCCGUUCUGGGCUGCCUGAGCUCCUUCCUGAACUCUAGACUCCCCUCUCCAGCUAUGCACUUUACAGCUCCGUUUGGACAAGGAACAACACCUCAGCCUUCACGGGCUCAAAUCCAAGCUCUUCUUUCUCCUCACUUAGCCUGCCCCUCCCACAGUGUUCCUCUUCAGUAAAUGGAAAUUCCAUCCUUGGAUUUCCUUGGUCCUCAGGGUGACUUCAGAGCCAACUUUCGUUCUUCUAUCUCAUGCCCUCUAUUAAAUCCACCAGAGAUUCUGUUGCCUUUCAGACACUCGCUGACCCAAUAUUUGCGCUCCCCCAUGCCCACCCUGAAGCGAGCU
Molecule: long non-coding RNA, 500 nt
Filed under: Homo sapiens (human)
Lineage: Eukaryota; Metazoa; Chordata; Mammalia; Primates; Hominidae
Description: non-protein coding lnc-SH3YL1-1:17
Source: RNAcentral